AAGUCGUAACAAGGUUUCCGUAGGUGAACCUGCGGAAGGAUCAUUAUUGAGAGGAAGGCGUCCGCGCCUUCGCGGUGCAUCUGCACCCGACUCUUCACCCUCGUGCGUACCGACCAUCGUUGCUUUGGCGGGUAUGAAGGCCUUAUCCGCCCUCUAUCGAACCCCGCCGAAGACCCUUUUUUAAGCCUUAUGUCAAUGCAGUCUGAGUCUUUUAAGCAAUCAAAAUUAAAAAAACUUUCAACAACGGAUCUCUUGGUUCUG
RNAcentral lists this unclassified non-coding RNA (261 nucleotides) under air metagenome. RNAcentral describes it as "partial contains small subunit ribosomal RNA, internal transcribed spacer 1, and 5.8S ribosomal RNA". The stretch from base 1 to 46 matches the Rfam family "Eukaryotic small subunit ribosomal RNA", at positions 1786 to 1831 of the family's 1831-position model. The record is from RNAcentral.